Long non-coding RNA from Clupea harengus (Atlantic herring), 514 nucleotides. The record is from Ensembl. Lineage: Eukaryota; Metazoa; Chordata; Actinopteri; Clupeiformes; Clupeidae.
UGCUCUGUGCUCUUCUUUCAGGACCAUGAGAUCAUGAAGGUGAAGAGAUCUAUUGCUCUGUGCUCUUCUUUCAGGACCAUGAGAUCAUGAAGGUGAAGAGAUCUAUUGCUCUGUGCUCUUCUUUCAGGACCAUGAGAUCAUGCAGGUGAAGAGAUCUAUUACAGAGGUCUGAGUGACUCAGCCACUGAGAAUGUUAAACACAUAACUGAUUUUCAUUACUGAUUUUUUUUUUAAACACAUGACUGGUGAAAUGCAACUCAAACUACGUACAGGCUAAUCUUCUUCAGAACCGUGCUUUUUCAUUCACUAGUACAUAGGAACUACUCGACUGCUUUUAAAAUACAUGCACGUUUAACUUGAGAUCAGUAACCCGUCAAGUAUUCAGUUCUUUGACCCUGUAUCAUUAAUCUGAACACUGCUGUCAAGAUCAAGCUGCAGCCUGCAGCUGUUCGAGACAGAUGUCCAGCACUUCCACAUGUUAACCACAAGGGGGCAGUAUUAACCCAUCAGGCAG